This 635-nucleotide long non-coding RNA is filed under the name Equus caballus (horse). Its description in RNAcentral is "lncRNA (ENSECAG00000033125.3)". The record is from RNAcentral. Lineage: Eukaryota; Metazoa; Chordata; Mammalia; Perissodactyla; Equidae.
GUGGGAGCAGGCGUGGAGGUUAGGGGCGUUCGUCCUGCCUCGAGUGGGCAGGUGUCCCGGCUCAAGGCAGGCCCAGAGGGACCGCCGAGAUCAUCCAGUGCAACCCCUGCACUUACCAAGGAGAAAGUCCAUGCAGGCAUUUUCUCUGGAGUGUGAACCUCGCACGGGACCUGCCAGGGGAGGCAUGUGUGUACACCUACGCAUGCUGUCUCCUGGAGCUUCAAGAUGCUGUCUCUUGGCGUUGGACUCAGGCCUCCCUCCCGUUGCUGAAGCAGAAUCAAGAAACCUCAGGUCAAGGAGCUGGAGCCCUUCUGAAUUCUGAACCCAGGAAGAGAAGAGGGGGUCAUGAGACAAAAAGAAGGUCACUGAAAAAGAAGGACAUAGGGACAGAGGCUAUAGAGAGGCUUGGCUGUGACAGAUUGUCAGGGAGAAGGGGAGAGACUUUUGUUUUGAUGUUGUUUUCAAACAACAGCAGUUACCUGGAAAGAAACCAACCACUACCAACUAUAGCCUAAAUAUAAAGUGACUGAGGAAGCAUAAGAAAUGUGUCUCAAGCGAUGCAAAGCUGUGCGUGUAUCAACAUGAGCAAACUAAUUCAGAUGGGCAUGCAGAACACAAAUGGGAGGGGUGAUGGG